This 253-nucleotide ribosomal RNA is filed under the name uncultured bacterium. Its description in RNAcentral is "partial 16S ribosomal RNA". It matches the Rfam family "Bacterial small subunit ribosomal RNA", at positions 524 to 776 of the family's 1533-position model. The record is from RNAcentral.
UACGGAGGGCGCAAGCGUUGUUCGGAAUCACUGGGCGUAAAGCGCGUGUAGGCGGCUUGGCAAGUCGGAUGUGAAAUCCCGAGGCUCAACCUCGGAACUGCACUCGAAACUGCCUGGCUCGAGUCCCGGAGAGGGUGGCGGAAUGCCCGGUGUAGGGGUGAAAUCCGUAGAUAUCGGGAGGAACACCAGUGGCGAAGGAGGCCGCCGGGACGGUGACUGACGCUGAGGCGCGAAAGCGUGGGGAGCAAACAGG